This 325-nucleotide unclassified non-coding RNA is filed under the name plant metagenome. RNAcentral describes it as "partial contains 5.8S ribosomal RNA, internal transcribed spacer 2, and large subunit ribosomal RNA". The stretch from base 1 to 105 matches the Rfam family "5.8S ribosomal RNA", at positions 50 to 154 of the family's 154-position model. The record is from RNAcentral.
GAAAUGCGAUAAGUAAUGUGAAUUGCAGAAUUCCGUGAAUCAUCGAAUCUUUGAACGCACAUUGCGCCCUCUGGUAUUCCGGGGGGCAUGCCUGUCCGAGCGUCAUUGCACACCCUCAAGCGCGGCUUGUGUGUUGGGCCCCCGCGUCCUUGCCAUUUAAAGGACGGGCCCGAAAGGCAGUGGCGGCGUCGCGGUUAUCCGAUCAGCCAGAGCGUAUGGGGACGCUACAGUCACACGCUCGCGGCGCGGACCGGCGCUGGCCGACCCCCCUAACCAUUCUACGGUUUGACCUCGGAUCAGGUAGGGAUACCCGCUGAACUUAAGC